CUGGCGGCAGGCCUAACACAUGCAAGUCGAACGGUAACAUUUCUAGCUUGCUAGAAGAUGACGAGUGGCGGACGGGUGAGUAAUGCUUGGGAACUUGCCUUUGCGAGGGGGAUAACAGUUGGAAACGACUGCUAAUACCGCAUAAUGUCUACGGACCAAACGGGGCUUCGGCUCCGGCGCAAAGAGAGGCCCAAGUGAGAUUAGCUAGUUGGUAAGGUAACGGCUUACCAAGGCGACGAUCUCUAGCUGUUCUGAGAGGAAGAUCAGCCACACUGGGACUGAGACACGGCCCAGACUCCUACGGGAGGCAGCAGUGGGGAAUAUUGCACAAUGGGGGAAACCCUGAUGCAGCCAUGCCGCGUGUGUGAAGAAGGCCUUCGGGUUGUAAAGCACUUUCAGUUGUGAGGAAAAGUUAGUAGUUAAUACCUGCUAGCCGUGACGUUAACAACAGAAGAAGCACCGGCUAACUCCGUGCCAGCAGCCGCGGUAAUACGGAGGGUGCGAGCGUUAAUCGGAAUUACUGGGCGUAAAGCGCACGCAGGCGGUUUGUUAAGCUAGAUGUGAAAGCCCCGGGCUCAACCUGGGAUGGUCAUUUAGAACUGGCAGACUAGAGUCUUGGAGAGGGGAGUGGAAUUCCAGGUGUAGCGGUGAAAUGCGUAGAUAUCUGGAGGAACAUCAGUGGCGAAGGCGACUCCCUGGCCAAAGACUGACGCUCAUGUGCGAAAGUGUGGGUAGCGAACAGGAUUAGAUACCCUGGUAGUCCACACCGUAAACGCUGUCUACUAGCUGUGUGUGUCUUUAAGACGUGCGUAGCGAAGCUAACGCGCUAAGUAGACCGCCUGGGGAGUACGGCCGCAAGGUUAAAACUCAAAUGAAUUGACGGGGGCCCGCACAAGCGGUGGAACAUGUGGUUUAAUUCGAUGCAACGCGAAGAACCUUACCUACACUUGACAUGCAGAGAACUUUCUAGAGAUAGAUUGGUGCCUUCGGGAACUCUGACACAGGUGCUGCAUGGCUGUCGUCAGCUCGUGUCGUGAGAUGUUGGGUUAAGUCCCGCAACGAGCGCAACCCUUGUCCUUAG
This 1081-nucleotide ribosomal RNA is filed under the name Alteromonas sp. RNAcentral describes it as "bacterial SSU rRNA". It matches the Rfam family "Bacterial small subunit ribosomal RNA", at positions 36 to 1114 of the family's 1533-position model. Lineage: Bacteria; Pseudomonadati; Pseudomonadota; Gammaproteobacteria; Alteromonadales; Alteromonadaceae. The record is from RNAcentral.